RNAcentral lists this ribosomal RNA (514 nucleotides) under uncultured bacterium. RNAcentral describes it as "partial 16S ribosomal RNA". It matches the Rfam family "Bacterial small subunit ribosomal RNA", at positions 28 to 523 of the family's 1533-position model. The record is from RNAcentral.
GAUGAACGCUGGCGGCGUGCCUAAUACAUGCAAGUCGAGCGAACAGAUGAGAAGCUUGCUUCUCUGAUGUUAGCGGCGGACGGGUGAGUAACACGUGGGUAACCUACCUAUAAGACUGGGAUAACUCCGGGAAGCCGGGGCUAAUACCGGAUAAUAUUUUGAACCGCAUGGUUCAAUAGUGAAAGACGGUUUCGGCUGUCACUUAUAGAUGGACCCGCGCCGUAUUAGCUAGUUGGUAAGGUAACGGCUUACCAAGGCGACGAUACGUAGCCGACCUGAGAGGGGGAUCGGCCACACUGGAACUGAGACACGGUCCAGACUCCUACGGGAGGCAGCAGUAGGGAAUCUUCCGCAAUGGGCGAAAGCCUGACGGAGCAACGCCGCGUGAGUGAUGAAGGUCUUCGGAUCGUAAAACUCUGUUGUUAGGGAAGAACAAAUUUGUUAGUAACUGAACAAGUCUUGACGGUACCUAUCCAGAAAGCCACGGCUAACUACGUGCCAGCAGCCGCCGUAA